CGAAGCUUUCAAGAGCAAUAAACUGUUGUUUGUUCUUCAUAACUAACUUCUUUCAAUAAUAUGUCAUCGUUUGAUGAACUGUGUUCCACUGGACAGGCAGCAAUGCUGACAGUAAAAGAGCAGGGAUACAAACAAUUACAAUAUCAAUCGAGCAAACGCUGUCAAAAGCGAAUAACAAAAGCUGGAUAAAGACAUUUAGGUGCCUAUAUCGGUGGUGUCCACCUCUUCCCAUUCCGAACAGAGAAGUUAAGCCCACCAGAGCCGAUGGUACUGCGGUAACACGUGGGAGAGUAGGUCGGUGCCAAAU
Molecule: ribosomal RNA, 307 nt
Filed under: Pedobacter cryoconitis
Lineage: Bacteria; Pseudomonadati; Bacteroidota; Sphingobacteriia; Sphingobacteriales; Sphingobacteriaceae
Source: RNAcentral